GAUUAGCUCAGCUGGUCAGAGCAUGGUGCUAAUAACGCCAAGGUCAUGGGUUUGAUCCCUGUACAGGUCA
Molecule: non-coding RNA, 70 nt
Organism: Taeniopygia guttata (zebra finch)
Lineage: Eukaryota; Metazoa; Chordata; Aves; Passeriformes; Estrildidae
Source: Rfam